UACGUAGGUGGCAAGCGUUGUCCGGAUUUACUGGGCGUAAAGCGUAUGCAGGCGGGCUCUUAAGUAGGAAGUGAAAGGUUGGAGCUUAACUCUAACACUGCUCCCUAUACUGGGAUUCUUGAGUGCCGGAGAGGAAGACGGAACGACACGUGUAGCGGUGAAAUGCGUUGAGAUGUGUCGGAACACCAAUGGCGAAAGCAGUCUUCUGGACGGAUACUGACGCUGAGAUACGAAAGCCAAGGUAGCAAACAGG
RNAcentral lists this ribosomal RNA (253 nucleotides) under uncultured bacterium. RNAcentral describes it as "partial 16S ribosomal RNA". It matches the Rfam family "Bacterial small subunit ribosomal RNA", at positions 524 to 776 of the family's 1533-position model. The record is from RNAcentral.